This 22-nucleotide non-coding RNA is filed under the name Arabidopsis thaliana (thale cress). Lineage: Eukaryota; Viridiplantae; Streptophyta; Magnoliopsida; Brassicales; Brassicaceae. The record is from RNAcentral.
UGGAUUCACUUGGCCUGUCUUC